RNAcentral lists this ribosomal RNA (503 nucleotides) under uncultured bacterium. RNAcentral's name for it is "bacterial SSU rRNA". It matches the Rfam family "Bacterial small subunit ribosomal RNA", at positions 974 to 1482 of the family's 1533-position model. The record is from RNAcentral.
CCUACCCUUGACAUGUCUGGAAUGCUUAAGAGAUAGGCAGUGCUCGCAAGAGAACCGGAACACAGGUGCUGCAUGGCUGACGUCAGCUCGUGUCGUGAGAUGUUGGGUUAAGUCCCGCAACGAGCGCAACCCUUGUCAUUAGUUGCUACGAAAGGGCACUCUAAUGAGACUGCCGGUGACAAACCGGAGGAAGGUGGGGAUGACGUCAAGNCCUCAUGGCCCUUAUGGGUAGGGCUUCACACGUCAUACAAUGGUCGGGACAGAGGGUCGCCAACCCGCGAGGGGGAGCCAAUCCCAGAAACCCGAUCGUAGUCCGGAUCGCAGUCGGCAACUCGACUGCGUGAAGUCGGAAUCGCUAGUAAUCGCGGAUCAGAAUGUCGCGGUGAAUACGUUCCCGGGUCUUGUACACACCGCCCGUCACACCAUGGGAGUGGGUUUUACCAGAAGUAGUUAGCCUAACCGCAAGGAGGGCGAUUACCACGGUAGNAUUCAUGACUGGGGUG